Molecule: long non-coding RNA, 2149 nt
Organism: Chrysemys picta bellii (western painted turtle)
Lineage: Eukaryota; Metazoa; Chordata; Testudines; Emydidae
Source: Ensembl
UAAAAAAUCAAACAAAAGAAAACCUUGAUAUUUAAUUAAAACAGCAGCCAAGGAAAUAAUCAAUACUCGAUUUAAACAUAAGAAAAGACUUAAUAUUCAGACAUUAAGGAGGAAUUGGACUUGGAGAUACCUAAUUUCACAUAGAAACUCUAGCUGUGACGUUCCUGACCUAGGAUUCUUUGGGACUCUCUUCCCCUGAAGAUAUUCCCACUCCAAGAGACUGCAUCUAAAAGUUUGAAGCCAGUAAAAAAAGAAAUAUUGGUGUUUCGGGACUAUAAAGUGCUGGCAGGCAUAAGCUUGUAACUUUCUACUGAAGCUGUUUCAUUCAAAAGGUAGAAGAAAUCAUUUUUAUUUUCCUCUCUUCAAGAAAAUAUCUGUUUUAUUGGCUGUUUACUGCUUAUGCUAUUUUCUUACUUGGUAUUUUCAUCUGAAGAAAGCUUUUUAAGUUACGUUGCUUUAAUUUUUUUUUGGUUUUGAACAUUUUUCUUGGUAAAUUAGAGGGUGGUUUAAUUACUGGUCCUCUUCAUAGUAAUAGACCUUUUCCCCCUUGACAGUGAAAACAGUGAGGCUUGUUAAAUUAACCCUUGUGUUGGUUAGCAGAUCUCUCUCUCUCUCUCUCUCUCUCUCUUUCUCUCUCAGGCACCUAUCUUCCUAGUGUCUGUGUCGAGAUGGAAGAAGUGUGGGUUGUCUACUUGUCCCUGUUCUUGCUUGUCUUGGUGCUCAUUUUAAUGAAGCGUGACCCAGAUUUGGAGGCCGCAAAGAAAGUUAAGGAAACACCAAGCACCCCAGCACCAACCACCUAUUAUUCCAGUGGUGCUGGCAAACAUCUGGAAUACACUGAAGAAGAGAUGGAGAAAUCCCUGGAGAGGCUAACCAGCAUCUUGUAUGAGGUAGAUGCUAGAAAAAGGGAAACCCACCAUGAGCAGAAAACAGCAAAGGCAGAAGCCUAUCACCAUCACAAAGCACCUGACGCAGAGUCUGAAAAUAAAGAGCUAAUGGGAAAGGGGCCAGGACAUUCCCAGCAUCUAUCUAGCCAGCACAGGGUUCAGGAGAAAGCAACUCAUCCUGGAGGCCCUGGGAAUAUCAUGGAUGAGAUUGGUCUGAAAUGACUGUUCAGUCUGAGGCUGAUCAAAUCUAGAGGGGUUCCUGGGGAAACCAGCACCGAUACAGCCAAGCACAAGCAGCAGCAAGAGCCAGCGUGUUUGUUAGUGACCAGAAACAGAUGAACUUCCUUGGCUCGAUGGCCAUGAUUGUUUCACCUGUCUCGAAAUGGAACCAUCAGACCCUUUGGGAGAUGGGCUGAAGCUGGAAGCACAGCUGGUUUCACAGCAGUCUCUGUAGGGCCUUGAAUUUCUAACUACUGACUCUGCUGCCCCAGACGCUAAUCAAAUCUGUCUUGCUGCCAGAACUCAGGACAACGGAAACCUUUCAGUUAAAGCCAGGCCCUAAAGGUUACUUUUGAGGGGGUAGGCCUGCUGUGGCAGGGGGCUAGAUGAACCAAUGGAUUCCUUCCAGCUUUCACAUCGGUGGUCUCUGUGAACCAGCACCAUGCCAAUGUGGGGAGCAUUAUGCCUGCAGAAGGCACAGCAAGUGUCAUGUGGCAGGAGUGCUGGGGGUGCCUACAGCAGUUGCUUUAGCUAUUCUACAGCGCUCUCCCCAGCGCUCAUGCUAGUGCCUCAACACAUCCCCCCUUGGCCAGUUAGUGCUGGCCAGACUGGUCCCUCCUCCCCCUACUCCCAGCACUUCCAGAGCACUAGCAACCAAAUUACACUUGCCAUCUGCAAACAUGCUCUGGGAGGGGGAGGGGAGAAGGGGUCCCCUUUACCCAUUUCCCCCCCUCAAGGGCACCUGCCUAGGAGCAUGCAUGAAUUGGAGACCCUGGUGUUGCUCAGAGGGCAAUGCAGCUGUUGCCAUACAUGCCUGUUCACUCUGAUCUACUCCCCCAGCUUGGGGUUAGCUGCUCACGGGGGAGUUCCCUCAUUGUGAGUAAUUCUCACUUAGUAAGAGCCGCUCCACCCAGCCCUACCCUGCUGCUGAAUGUGGCUUGCCAGCUGACAUGGCAUGCAAUGGGAAGACUUGUAGCUGACGCAACCAUCUGCUCAGCAGCAAGUUGGGCACCGUUUCCACAGCCCUUGGUACUGAGUCAGCG